GUCAGAACGCGUGUGUGGCCAUGUUGGCGGGUUUGUUUAAAUGUGACUUCAGUCUGUAGACGAGGUGGGUUUAAAGCCAGAGCAAGCUGCUGUUUGGUCGUUGCUUUCAGGAUAAUCAACCUUUCCCGGUUUCUUGAUGAUGGCCAUUGUUGUUUAAGUGAUUGUACUGUGAUCUCUUGCUGCAGCCUUCUUGGUAAAACGUGAGUGAUUCUUUGUGACUGGUCAUCCCAAAGACUGUGAUCUGUAUUGGCCUUUAGUUGGACUGAGAGAGAACACUGUUUCCUUGGCAUCAGAGGUUCCUUUGAUACUAACUGCGCAUCACUGGUUCAUAAGCGACUAGGACAUGCAAGCAGCCCCAUCACUACCAACAAAAUAUGUACUCCCAACCAGCACGGCCCUCUUCAAUCAAUUAGGUUGUGCCUCUACUUAAGACAGAUAGCAUUUUGGGAUGACAGUUGAAACCUUAAUUAGAAGAGGUUGUUUGGCUGAAAAAAGGUGGGAUUUUUAAAAUACAGUCCCAGAUCAACACUCCUUGUUUUGUGGGCUUGCAUCUGUAGAUUGUUCAAACUAGACCUUAAGAACUACAACAAAUAGAGGGAUGUAAUUUGUUAAAUCACUGCUUACAGGCUUGAGGAAAAGACUUUUUGGGAAGUGUAUAUAAGGUGUUUGGAAGAAUAAAAUGUACUUGGCUAACCAAGCACAAUUGAAGAGAAAUGAAAAGUGACAACUAAGAAGAUAAAGAGAUUUUUAUAUGAGAAACUCCAAUGAUGUGGGCUUGUAUAUUAUUUGGCCCUGAUGUUUGUUCAUUUGACACUGAUUUCAACGAUGCUUCAAUUACUGCUGUAAGGUGCAACCUAUAUUUUGAAAUGGUGGCCUCGACGAGUGUGUAGUAAUACAUAUUGGAAUUCAAACAUGGUUUGUUUAGUUUCCCUAGUUUCAGUAGUUUGACAGAGAGACAAGCGCAAGCUAGUCCCUGGAGACAGUUCUCUAACAAAUUAGAGAUAUCUUAUCGCCAGUGACACUACUCAACAGCCAGAGCACAAGCAUCAUCCUGUACAUCCAGUUUCUUGAUGUUUCUUGCUUGUAGUUGAGGUGAUUGGUACUUUGAUCUCUUGCUGUUGCCUUCUGGGUAAAAGUUGUAGCAUUGAUGAAGAGACAAGGCCAGACCCUUGGGAGACAGUUUUCUGGAUUUUAACACAUCACAGGCAACUGGUGCAUUACUGACAACACAACCUGCUUGUCUUCUGCUGCUGGUUGAACAGUGAUAUGCUCCAUGCUGUGACAUGCUCAACCUCUCUCAUCGUUUUCUUAUCUUGUCUGUCCUGGAAUAGCAUGAGCAAAUUCUGGGUGCAAUAUCUGUUGUAAAAGUACACUGACCAUUUUUAGGGGCAAUAAAAGUAACAACAGCACGAUUUUGAUUUCCUCAACAAAACAGAACUGGUAAUUUGCAACUGUUGCAGUGACCGUUUGUCUUGUGGUGGCAGCAAAAGGUUUUGUUGAAAAGGUUCCUAUUUUGCAUGGCUUUUCUAUACCAUCUGGUGUACCUCAAGGAAGUGUCUUUAGCCCAAUCCAGUUCUUAUGUAUACCGACGACUUUCCUUAUCACAUCGUGUCAGCUAGCACUUUAUUUGGUAACAAUGCUCUUGUGUAUAGGCCAACAUAAUGUCAGUUUGAUGACCUUCAAGGUAUUCAUGGCUUCCAAAGAUGUUGUCAUGCUAAUAAAAUGCAUCUCAGUACAUUACUAAGGAAACCAAAGGUUUGCAUAUAGGAUGGUUAAAGAAAAUAGUGGACCUGAAUUUUACCUUAGUUAACAUGUAGUUUGAAGCUGAUAAUGAGUACAAAAUUUCUCGGGAAAAUCUUGUUAUGUCACUACCAAAUCAAACAGACUUAUUAUGUUUUGCUUUCAUCUUGCAAGUCUCUGGUGUUGACUUUUCUGGAAUACAAGUAGCCUAUCUGGUACCUUCACAACAGAAACCUUAUAUAUUGACAAGUUAGAACAAAAUUCAUGUUGAGCAACCAGAAUAAUUCUCUAGUGAAGAAGAUUUAAAAUGGAUUACAUGGAUUGGUUGCAUAUGUACAUUGAAUUUGUCUUUGCGUGAAUCUAAAAGCGUCCAUCUUUUGCUUACAUUUUUGUUUAGAGGUCUUCAUAGAGCUUUUGACCGUGAAAUAGUCUUAGUGAACAGGUGGUAUAUUGAAACGAUCAGGCUGGACAAACCUUAGGGCACGAAUUUAAAAACUUCAUCAUUUUGCCAAUUACAUGCUCUUGAAAUGAACUACAUGUACCUGAACGUUUGAGAACUGAAGUGGUUUAAAUAACCCUUCCAUACCGGAUCAACUUACCAAGUACCCACUUGAAUUUGAAAGUAUAUGAAACUUGACAGAGUACUGAUUGAAUUUGCAGUGGAGUACCCUUGUAAUAAGGUCGUUGGGACUGGCAAGUUGUGGGAGGGGCACUGUGCUGUUUGGUGCAAGGAAGCACAAAAUGGGGGGAUUUGAAUACCUAGGAUUUGCCAUGUGGGCCAGAUGUGUCAAUGGUUUUGCUUUUGUCGGUAUUCAACUGUAUUUUGUUAUUUCAUGGUGUCUUUCUUUUUUUCGGUUUUUACACAAUAAAUUUCUUUCAUUGUUUUGAGUUA
Acanthaster planci (crown-of-thorns starfish) is the source of this 2632-nucleotide long non-coding RNA. The record is from RefSeq and is a predicted model, not a curated record. NCBI's taxonomy places the organism in Eukaryota, Metazoa, Echinodermata, Asteroidea, Valvatida, Acanthasteridae.